GAUGAAGAACGUAGCGAAAUGCGAUAAGUAAUGUGAAUUGCAGAAUUCAGUGAAUCAUCGAAUCUUUGAACGCACCUUGCGCCCUUUGGCCAUUCCGAAGGGCAUGCCUGUUUGAGUAUCAUGAACACCUCAACUCUUCAUGGUUUUCCAUGAUGAGCUUGGACUUUGGGGGUCUUGCUGGCCUGUGGGUCGGCUCCUCUCAAAUGAAUCAGCUUGCCGGUUUUUGGUGGGCAUCACAGGUGUGAUAACUAUCUACGCUUGUGGUUUUCCACCAGGGUAACCUUCAGCAGUGGAGGUUCACUGGAGCUUACAAAUGUCUCUCCUCUGUGAGGACAGCCCUUUGAAUGUUUGAUCUCAAAUCAGGGAGAACUACCCGCUGAACUUAAGCAUAUCAAUAAGCGGAGGA
This 406-nucleotide unclassified non-coding RNA is filed under the name soil metagenome. RNAcentral describes it as "partial contains 5.8S ribosomal RNA, internal transcribed spacer 2, and large subunit ribosomal RNA". The stretch from base 1 to 121 matches the Rfam family "5.8S ribosomal RNA", at positions 35 to 154 of the family's 154-position model. The record is from RNAcentral.